CGCGUAGGCGGCUGGAUAAGUCAGAUGUGAAAUCCCACGGCUCAACUGUGGAAGUGCAUUUGAAACUGUCUGGCUUGAGUAUCGGAGGGGAGUGUGGAAUUCCCGGUGUAGAGGUGAAAUUCGUAGAGAUCGGGAGGAACACCGGUGGCGAAGGCGACACUCUGGACGCAUACUGACGCUGAGGCGCGAAAGCGUGGGGAGCAAACA
This 207-nucleotide ribosomal RNA is filed under the name uncultured bacterium. Its description in RNAcentral is "partial 16S ribosomal RNA". It matches the Rfam family "Bacterial small subunit ribosomal RNA", at positions 568 to 774 of the family's 1533-position model. The record is from RNAcentral.